This 1614-nucleotide ribosomal RNA is filed under the name Staphylococcus aureus. Its description in RNAcentral is "partial 23S ribosomal RNA". It matches the Rfam family "Bacterial large subunit ribosomal RNA", at positions 579 to 2196 of the family's 2925-position model. Lineage: Bacteria; Bacillati; Bacillota; Bacilli; Caryophanales; Staphylococcaceae. The record is from RNAcentral.
GCCCGUUAAUGGGUGAUGGCGUGCCUUUUGUAGAAUGAACCGGCGAGUUACGAUUUGAUGCAAGGUUAAGCAGUAAAUGUGGAGCCGUAGCGAAAGCGAGUCUGAAUAGGGCGUUUAGUAUUUGGUCGUAGACCCGAAACCAGGUGAUCUACCCUUGGUCAGGUUGAAGUUCAGGUAACACUGAAUGGAGGACCGAACCGACUUACGUUGAAAAGUGAGCGGAUGAACUGAGGGUAGCGGAGAAAUUCCAAUCGAACCUGGAGAUAGCUGGUUCUCUCCGAAAUAGCUUUAGGGCUAGCCUCAAGUGAUGAUUAUUGGAGGUAGAGCACUGUUUGGACGAGGGGCCCCUCUCGGGUUACCGAAUUCAGACAAACUCCGAAUGCCAAUUAAUUUAACUUGGGAGUCAGAACAUGGGUGAUAAGGUCCGUGUUCGAAAGGGAAACAGCCCAGACCACCAGCUAAGGUCCCAAAAUAUAUGUUAAGUGGAAAAGGAUGUGGCGUUGCCCAGACAACUAGGAUGUUGGCUUAGAAGCAGCCAUCAUUUAAAGAGUGCGUAAUAGCUCACUAGUCGAGUGACACUGCGCCGAAAAUGUACCGGGGCUAAACAUAUUACCGAAGCUGUGGAUUGUCCUUUGGACAAUGGUAGGAGAGCGUUCUAAGGGCGUUGAAGCAUGAUCGUAAGGACAUGUGGAGCGCUUAGAAGUGAGAAUGCCGGUGUGAGUAGCGAAAGACGGGUGAGAAUCCCGUCCACCGAUUGACUAAGGUUUCCAGAGGAAGGCUCGUCCGCUCUGGGUUAGUCGGGUCCUAAGCUGAGGCCGACAGGCGUAGGCGAUGGAUAACAGGUUGAUAUUCCUGUACCACCUAUAAUCGUUUUAAUCGAUGGGGGGACGCAGUAGGAUAGGCGAAGCGUGCGAUUGGAUUGCACGUCUAAGCAGUAAGGCUGAGUAUUAGGCAAAUCCGGUACUCGUUAAGGCUGAGCUGUGAUGGGGAGAAGACAUUGUGUCUUCGAGUCGUUGAUUUCACACUGCCGAGAAAAGCCUCUAGAUAGAAAAUAGGUGCCCGUACCGCAAACCGACACAGGUAGUCAAGAUGAGAAUUCUAAGGUGAGCGAGCGAACUCUCGUUAAGGAACUCGGCAAAAUGACCCCGUAACUUCGGGAGAAGGGGUGCUCUUUAGGGUUAACGCCCAGAAGAGCCGCAGUGAAUAGGCCCAAGCGACUGUUUAUCAAAAACACAGGUCUCUGCUAAACCGUAAGGUGAUGUAUAGGGGCUGACGCCUGCCCGGUGCUGGAAGGUUAAGAGGAGUGGUUAGCUUCUGCGAAGCUACGAAUCGAAGCCCCAGUAAACGGCGGCCGUAACUAUAACGGUCCUAAGGUAGCGAAAUUCCUUGUCGGGUAAGUUCCGACCCGCACGAAAGGCGUAACGAUUUGGGCACUGUCUCAACGAGAGACUCGGUGAAAUCAUAGUACCUGUGAAGAUGCAGGUUACCCGCGACAGGACGGAAAGACCCCGUGGAGCUUUACUGUAGCCUGAUAUUGAAAUUCGGCACAGCUUGUACAGGAUAGGUAGGAGCCUUUGAAACGUGAGCGCUAGCUUACGUGGAGGCGCUGGUGGG